ACAGGGAUUGCCCUAGUAACGGCGAGUGAAGCGGCAACAGCUCAAAUUUGAAAUCUGGCUCUUUUAGAGUCCGAGUUGUACUUUGCAGAGGGCGCUUUGGCUUUGGCAGCGGUCCAAGUUCCUUGGAACAGGACGUCACAGAGGGUGAGAAUCCCGUACGUGGUCGCUGGCUAUUGCCGUGUAAAGCCCCUUCGACGAGUCGAGUUGUUUGGGAAUGCAGCUCUAAAUGGGAGGUACAUUUCUUCUAAAGCUAAAUAUUGGCCAGAGACCGAUAGCGCACAAGUAGAGUGAUCGAAAGAUGAAAAGCACUUUGGAAAGAGAGUCAAACAGCACGUGAAAUUGUUGAAAGGGAAGCGCUUGCAGCCAGACUUGCUUGCAGUUGCUCAUCCGGGCUUUUUUGCCCGGUGCACUCUUCUGUAGGCAGGCCAGCAUCAGUUUGGGCGGUAGGAUAAAGGUCUCUGUCACGUACCUCCUUUCGGGGAGGCCUUAUAGGGGAGGCGACAUACUACCAGCCUGGACUGAGGUCCGCGCAUCUGCUAGGAUGCUGGCGUAAUGGCUGUAAGCGGCCCGUCUUGAAACACGGACCAAGGAGUCUAACAUCUAUGCGAGUGUUUGGGUGUCAAGCCCGAGCGCGUAAUGAAAGUGAACGGAGGUGGGAACCCGCAAGGGUGCACCAUCGACCGAUCCUGAUGUCUUCGGAAGGAUUUGAGUAAGAGCAUGGCUGUUGGGACCCGAAAGAUGGUGAACUAUGCUUGAAUAGGGUGAAGCCAGAGGAAACUCUGGUGGAGGCUCGCAGCGGUUCUGACGUGCAAAUCGAUCGUCAAAUUUGGGCAUAGGGGCGAAAGACUAAU
Molecule: ribosomal RNA, 851 nt
Filed under: Alternaria porri
Lineage: Eukaryota; Fungi; Ascomycota; Dothideomycetes; Pleosporales; Pleosporaceae
Also listed under: 3 other names
Description: eukaryotic LSU rRNA
Rfam family: Eukaryotic large subunit ribosomal RNA
Source: RNAcentral